UAGGGAAUCUUCCACAAUGGACGCAAGUCUGAUGGAGCAACGCCGCGUGAGUGAAGAAGGUUUUCGGAUCGUAAAGCUCUGUUGUUGGUGAAGAAGGAUAGAGGCAGUAACUGGUCUUUAUUUGACGGUAAUCAACCAGAAGUCACGGCUAACUACGUGCCCG
Molecule: ribosomal RNA, 163 nt
Filed under: uncultured bacterium
Lineage: Bacteria
Description: partial 16S rRNA
Rfam family: Bacterial small subunit ribosomal RNA
Source: RNAcentral